UGGGGAAUAUUGCGCAAUGGGCGAAAGCCUGACGCAGCGACGCCGCGUGAGGGAUGAAGGUCUUCGGAUCGUAAACCUCUGUCAGAAGGGAAGAAACUAGGGUGCUCUAAUCAUCAUCCUACUGACGGUACCUUCAAAGGAAGCACCGGCUAACUCCGUGCCAGCAGCCGCGGUAAUACGGAGGGUGCAAGCGUUAAUCGGAAUCACUGGGCGUAAAGCGCACGUAGGCUGUUAUGUAAGUCAGGGGUGAAAUCCCACGGCUCAACCGUGGAACUGCCCUUGAUACUGCACGACUUGAAUCCGGGAGAGGGUGGCGGAAUUCCAGGUGUAGGAGUGAAAUCCGUAGAUAUUUGGAAGAAUACCAAUGGCGAAGGCAGGCUGCCAGCAGAUGAUUGACGCUGAGGUACGAAGGUGCGGGGAGC
RNAcentral lists this ribosomal RNA (422 nucleotides) under uncultured Desulfovibrio sp. RNAcentral describes it as "bacterial SSU rRNA". It matches the Rfam family "Bacterial small subunit ribosomal RNA", at positions 355 to 769 of the family's 1533-position model. Lineage: Bacteria; Pseudomonadati; Thermodesulfobacteriota; Desulfovibrionia; Desulfovibrionales; Desulfovibrionaceae. The record is from RNAcentral.